GAAUUACAACAAGAAAUUGAAUUUCAGAAGUGGAAAGCUAAAUAACCAUUUAGAAGCUGCUAUUCAUGAGGCCAUGAGUGAACUGGACAAAAUGUCUGGG
This 100-nucleotide small RNA is filed under the name Pongo abelii (Sumatran orangutan). RNAcentral's name for it is "processed transcript". Lineage: Eukaryota; Metazoa; Chordata; Mammalia; Primates; Hominidae. The record is from RNAcentral.